AGUUAAUUCCUAACAAAUUCUAAAGUAAAUAUAAGUAAGGAUAGCUCAAAGGAAGGAAAUAAGAUAUAACUUCACAAACAAAACCCGCAAAGAUGGGGAAAAGGCUCAAUAAAUAAUUCUAAGAUAAAGAGAAUAUGGUCAGAGCCAGCAGGAAGAACCUAGUGCAUGAUACAUUCCUCUUAGCUCACUGUAUUGAACUACACAUUUGUGCUUUGUGUUCAGCAGCAGUUACCAGGGGGUGCUAAGUAAUAAUGAUGACACUGAUGGCAUAUAAAUAAGCUGACUUCCACUUCCACUGGCAUUAUUUCCCUACAUACCGGUUGAAUUCAAAUUCAUUUGAUUUACAGAAGCAUUCAUUGAAGCAGAACACUUUGUCUUUUGUUCAAUUUUCAAAAAUUAAAGUAAUUUAAAAUUCCAUUGGGUUUAUAGAUCUUUCAGUGCAAAUUUUGAAGGGAAGUAGAAUGGAGAGUCACAUGUGGCCAUAACUAUACUUAAGUAUAAAUUUAUAUACUCUAUAAUUUUAGUCACAAGGAACAUAUAUAGAAAGUUUGAGGAAUGAAAAUACUGACCUGUGUAGAGUGGAAGGAAAAUGGUUGAGUACAGCUACUUGAGUUUAGGUGUUAGUUGGAUAGAUGGGAAUGGGGACAAUAGCUGUUUUUCCAAAGUCACUGGACAGCAUAAAAACCUUGGAGACAUAGAAACCUAUAGUGAAAUAAGCAAAUAAAUGAUUUGGAUCCUGAUUUG
RNAcentral lists this long non-coding RNA (744 nucleotides) under Marmota monax (woodchuck). The record is from RNAcentral. Lineage: Eukaryota; Metazoa; Chordata; Mammalia; Rodentia; Sciuridae.